This is a long non-coding RNA of Galleria mellonella (greater wax moth), 1075 nucleotides long. RefSeq lists it as uncharacterized. NCBI's taxonomy places the organism in Eukaryota, Metazoa, Arthropoda, Insecta, Lepidoptera, Pyralidae. The record is from RefSeq and is a predicted model, not a curated record. The transcript has 3 exons.
GAACGACCGUGGCUACAGCGCUGCGGUAAUUGGUAUUCACUAACGUGUCAAACCUCAUCGACGAACUGUAGGCUGUGAUAACUCGAGGCUGUGCGCACGGACGAGAUAGGGCUUGCAACAAAAACCGUAAAAUGAAACCGAUAACUGUAGAAAUAUAAUAUUUUAUUGACAAAUGGAAUGUUUUAUUCAGUUUAGAAUGUUAUUUAAAUAAAUAUUAUAUAAAAUAAACAUAAAUUUAUACAUCAAACAUUUGAUUUUGUUUUUUAAAGUUAAGAUUUGUUUGAAUACCCUUGCUUCCAUUGCCGUAAAAUAAACAAAUAACACUUAUACGUAGGUACGUAGAGAGUAUUAUAUUCCUUGUACUUAACAUUCCAGAGGCGCACUUUUUGUAUUUGUUUAUUCUCUUUUAAAAAUAAUUAAUAAAAUUAACGUAACUUUACCAACGUUUUAUAAGUUUGGAUGUAUCUAUCAAAUACGUCCACGCCGUCAUUUGACUGACAGUAUCCCGAUGACACUUAUCUCCUUCACAAUAGCAGCCUCAACUAGAAAGAGAGUAGUCUCGCAAAGAUUUGUUGCCACUGAAGAGCACCGAGUAGAGACAGAACAAAUUUUGAUAGAGAAUCAGACAACACUAGUUCAUAUCUUAUAGCUAAUGAAUGAGAUAUGACUAAAUUAAAGUCAGCCAUUGUACGAUUUAAUUAAAAAUUUUUUAAAAAAAUGUCAAAUAAUUUUUAUUCAAUUAAAUUUAAAAUAUUAUAAAUGGUAAUUCUUUAUGAUUCUACCAUCCAUUGUGAAGAAGGGGAGAAACCUCAAUUUUGGUUUUUAAAAUACUAAUAGAUUUUACAAUAAUACAUUUCUAAAAAUAUACACUGCCAAACAUAACAAGAGUUAUUGGAAUUAUUAGUUAAAUCAAGUUCAUUAUUGAAAAUAUAAGAUUAAAUUAUGUCAUUUAAUAGUCAUUAGUAAUUUUGAAAUAUAAGUUUCAUCUUAUAUAAUUUUCAAAUAAAAACACAAUUACAAUAAAAUUUUAUAAUUAUAAACUUGUUUCAAUUUCAAAUAAAUAAUUUUUAAUGAA